RNAcentral lists this ribosomal RNA (253 nucleotides) under uncultured prokaryote. RNAcentral describes it as "partial 16S ribosomal RNA". It matches the Rfam family "Bacterial small subunit ribosomal RNA", at positions 524 to 776 of the family's 1533-position model. The record is from RNAcentral.
UACAGAGGCCUCAAGCGUUAGGCGGAAUCACUGGGCUUAAAGCGUGUGUAGGCGGACUUCUAAGUACCUUGUGAAAUCCCACGGCUUAACCGUGGAACUGCUUGGUAUACUGGUUGUCUUGAGCCACUUAGGGGCUACCGGAACAAACGGUGGAGCGGUGAAAUGCGUAGAUAUCGUUUGGAACGCCAAUGGUGAAAACAGGUUGCUGGGGGUGUGCUGACGUUGAGACACGAAAGCCAGGGGAGCAAACGGG